ACCUCGGUUACUAAACCAAUAAACCAUGUGUAGUGUCCGCGAAAAAGAUAAGCCAAGAGGUACCCGAAAACUAGACGUUAAGAUUAAAAUCUCGGAACUAGAGGGUGAAUUACAACGAAUGAAACCACCCCACACCUCCAAAACGCAGAAGUCUUCCACAAAGUGGGAUACGCCUAUGGAGGUGUUCUCGAAAUCCUGACGACGCACCCCUGUGCUCACCGAAAGGACACGGAAGCACUGGA
Aethina tumida (small hive beetle) is the source of this 242-nucleotide long non-coding RNA. RefSeq lists it as uncharacterized. NCBI's taxonomy places the organism in Eukaryota, Metazoa, Arthropoda, Insecta, Coleoptera, Nitidulidae. The record is from RefSeq and is a predicted model, not a curated record. The transcript has 3 exons.